Long non-coding RNA from Gossypium raimondii (Peruvian cotton), 548 nucleotides. RefSeq lists it as uncharacterized. The record is from RefSeq and is a predicted model, not a curated record. Lineage: Eukaryota; Viridiplantae; Streptophyta; Magnoliopsida; Malvales; Malvaceae. The transcript is spliced from 2 exons.
CACAAAAAACAAAAUAAAAAUAAAAAUAAAACAAAAGGGAGACUCCCUUUCUCUGCUAGGCCGACGGCCUCCCAAGACCUCCGUCGCGCCACCAACGUGGUCGGCGACCGGUGCCGGAAAGUGGUCCCGUUAGCCCCUGUUUCACGGUAUCCUUGAAAGCCAAAGCUCUCUCAACCCACGGGAGUCGAAAACAAAGGAGGUUCACGACCGCUUGGACCCGAUUCGGGCGACGGAGGAGAGAUCCUCCGACGGCGCAACCACGGCCACCCGGUGUCAGACGAGGCCGACGGCUGUGGUCAGAAGCGUGCAUGAGUGAGCCUGGCAGCAUGCGGCGCUUGGAGGCUUGGGGGCAAGCAGCAGCUAGGGUUCUCUGUUGCUGAAAUUUUUUAAUUUCCUGGGCUAGGGUUUAGGUUUGUUGUGUCUAAUGUAACUGGACUGAUUAUUUUUUGUUAAUUUGGGCUGUUUCGGGUUCUAUUGGGCCACGGGCAGAAUUUGGGCUCUACACCUUUCAGAAAAAUACACGCCAAUCGAAUAUGUGGGCAGAUAAA